RNAcentral lists this ribosomal RNA (320 nucleotides) under uncultured bacterium. Its description in RNAcentral is "bacterial SSU rRNA". It matches the Rfam family "Bacterial small subunit ribosomal RNA", at positions 28 to 334 of the family's 1533-position model. The record is from RNAcentral.
GACGAACGCUGGCGGCAUGCCUAAUACAUGCAAGUCGAGCGGAGUUAUGAUGGAGCUUGCUCCUGAUUAACUUAGCGGCGGACGGGUGAGUAACACGUAGGCAACCUGCCCUCAAGACUGGGAUAACUACCGGAAACGGUAGCUAAUACCGGAUAAUUUCUUUCCUCUCCUGAAGAGAGAAUGAAAGGCGGAGCAAUCUGCUGCUUGGGGAUGGGCCUGCGGCGCAUUAGCUAGUUGGUGGAGUGAUGGCUCACCAAGGCGACGAUGCGUAGCCGACCUGAGAGGGUGAACGGCCACAAGGGGACUGAGGCACGGCCCUU